This 254-nucleotide ribosomal RNA is filed under the name uncultured bacterium. RNAcentral describes it as "partial 16S ribosomal RNA". It matches the Rfam family "Bacterial small subunit ribosomal RNA", at positions 524 to 776 of the family's 1533-position model. The record is from RNAcentral.
UACGAAGGUCCCGAGCGUUGUUCGGAAUCACUGGGCGUAAAGGGAGCGUAGGCGGCGUGGCAAGUCAGAUGUGAAAUCCCGGGGCUCAACCCCGGAACUGCAUCCGAUACUGCCGUGCUUUGAGGGUUGGAGAGGCAGCUGGAAUUCACGGUGUAGCAGUGAAAUGCGUGGAUAUCGUGAGGAACACUCGUGGCGAAAGCGAGCUGCUGGACAACACCUGACGCUGAGGCUCGAAGGCCGGGGGAGCGAAAGGG